UCCGGACCGACGGUUCGCCGCCCGGCGUCUACUGUCGGCUUCCGAACAGCCCGCCGGCUCGCGCGGGGUGCUCUUCAUCGAGUGUCCCGAGUGGCCGGCACGUUUACUUUGAAAAAAUUAGAGUGCUCAAAGCAGGCCCAGCCGCCUGAAUAUUCGUGCAUGGAAUAAUGGAAUAGGACCUCGGUUCUAUUUUGUUGGUUUUCGGAACUCGAGGUAAUGAUUAAUAGGGACAGACGGGGGCAUUCGUAUUGCGACGUUAGAGGUGAAAUUCUUGGAUCGUCGCAAGACGAACUACUGCGAAAGCAUUUGCCAAGAAUGUUUUCAUUAAUCAAGAACGAAAGUUAGAGGUUCGAAGGCGAUCAGAUACCGCCCUAGUUCUAACCAUAAACGAUGCUGACUAGCGAUCCGCCGGCGUUAUUCCCAUGACUCGGCGGGCAGCUUCCGGGAAACCAAAGUCUUUGAGUUCCGGGGGAAGUAUGGUUGCAAAGCUGAAACUUAAAGGAAUUGACGGAAGGGCACCACCAGGAGUGGAGCCUGCGGCUUAAUUUGACUCAACACGGGGAACCUCACCAGGCCCGGACACCGGAAGGAUUGACAGAUUGAGAGCUCUUUCUUGAUUCGGUGGGUGGUGGUGCA
RNAcentral lists this ribosomal RNA (636 nucleotides) under Gonodactylaceus falcatus. RNAcentral describes it as "SSU rRNA". It matches the Rfam family "Eukaryotic small subunit ribosomal RNA", at positions 729 to 1284 of the family's 1831-position model. The record is from RNAcentral. Lineage: Eukaryota; Metazoa; Arthropoda; Malacostraca; Stomatopoda; Gonodactylidae.